GGGAUGGGCAUUUUGUAAAUAUGAAAAUGAGCGAAAGGGAUGAUGCAACAGACAGCAUUUGCUGGAAUAUUUUUAAAAUCAAAACGCGAAUUUUUCAAGACCGGAAAAUAAAAUAUUAAAUGAAUUAACUUUUGAAUUAAAAAACUAAAUGAACGCGCACUCACCUUAGGAAAGCAGUAUUUAUUUUGAAAAAUGCCCGUUUUGAUUUAAAAAAGUACUAUUCAGUAAAUUGGCAACACCACAAAAAGCCAAAACAAAAUGGCUACCAGUAUCUAUGUCGUGCCGUGAGCCCGUGAAGUCGUCACGGAUUCUCUUACAUGAAAAUCUUGAUUUACAAACUUGUUUUAAAGAAUGCAGUUUAAUAAAAGCCACCAGCAACCAAAUUCAGACAAAGAUUUCAAGACGCCUUACCUAAAGAAAGUGUGGCGUUUCUUCUGGGUUUUUUCAAUAAGGAUGGAGUCGGUAUAAUUGGCUAAUUAAGGACUAAUUAGGGAAUGGUGAUUUUGAGGUAAUGCUGUUCUUUUUUUGACACAGCACAGAAUUGACAAACUUCAACAAGUUUUGACAUCUUCGAGGCAGAGGCCCUGAUGCCCACCCUAUUGGCAUUCCCACAUCUCUGACAUUGUUUGAAAACUAUGUAGGCUGAUUGUUUCACGAGAUUUAGAUAGAUGUGAUUUGUGGUGUUAAAUCUUUGCCUGAGCCUGAAGAUACUACACAGUCUUGCAUGCUGAUUGUAUUUGAUGCUGUGCAAGCCCUAAUGGUUAAAGGAAGGCAACCUCAUUGAUGUUUGGCAACUGCUUAAUCUGAAAGGGGCUCUUGUAUUUCUUCAAGUCAGAGAAUUUAUUGUAAGCCAGUAAGUUGAAUGUUCAUCUUGAAAUGGUUGAAGAGAUCGAAUGGAGUCUACUCUUAAACAACAAGGGGAUUCAACAUCAUUGAGUUACAGAUUGAAGUUUUACAGUAGUAACUCGAGUUGAACAACAGUAAUAUAUAAUUUGUGCUAUGAUAUAUAUUCUGUAUGAGUGAGAAAUGAAAUAUACAAAUUAUAAGUGA
RNAcentral lists this long non-coding RNA (1050 nucleotides) under Daphnia pulex (common water flea). RNAcentral's name for it is "uncharacterized LOC124208823, transcript variant X2". Lineage: Eukaryota; Metazoa; Arthropoda; Branchiopoda; Diplostraca; Daphniidae. The record is from RNAcentral.